GGGCGGAUAGCUCAGAGGGAGAGCGCCUGCCUUACAAGCAGGAGGUCGUAGGUUCGAGCCCCUGCUCCGCCCACCA
Molecule: transfer RNA, 76 nt
Filed under: Synergistota bacterium
Lineage: Bacteria; Thermotogati; Synergistota
Description: Synergistetes bacterium (hot springs metagenome) tRNA-Val
Rfam family: tRNA
About the family: Transfer RNA (tRNA) molecules are approximately 80 nucleotides in length. Their secondary structure includes four short double-helical elements and three loops (D, anti-codon, and T loops).
Source: RNAcentral